CCAGUAGAAGCAAUAACAGAGCAAAGAUAGAGAAAUAGCAUCUUGACGAAAAAUCAAGCAAAAACACAUAGGACAUGACAUGAACAGAUAGAUUCACCUAAAUAAAGAAGAAGAAGAAGAAGAAGAAGAAGAAUAAGAGUUGUUUAUAAGAUUUUGAAAACCCUAAAUUGAACAGACUAAUAAAAAUAGGGAAAAGUAUCCAAAACUCGAGUAAAACACAGAUCUAGGAAAACAAAGGAAGAAAGAACCUUGAACAAGCCUUUUUUUAGGGUUUCUCAAAAUCCCUAGGAACAAGAAGGCUUGGAAAAGAUCUAGUCUUGAACAAGUCUGGACCAUGGAUGGGCCUUUCAAAGCUCGAACACGCUGGAACAGAGCAGGAGAAACCAAAAGAACUUAGAUCGGCGGAGGAUCUGAACAGGUUUUUGUUGAAAUCAAGCCUCAAAAUCUCGAACAACCAUGAUUUGUUGGUGAAUGGAAGAGGGUACAGGCCGUCCAUGGCAUAUGAAGCCAUGUACGCCAGUGGAUUUGGUUGGAGAGGAUGUUUAUGGCGGCAAGAGUUUUGAGCGUUAGAGAGACUCUGAGAGACGAGGGAGGUUGAGGGCGGCUG
Molecule: long non-coding RNA, 607 nt
Filed under: Nicotiana benthamiana
Lineage: Eukaryota; Viridiplantae; Streptophyta; Magnoliopsida; Solanales; Solanaceae
Description: long non-coding RNA (NBEN_LNC015498)
Source: RNAcentral